RNAcentral lists this ribosomal RNA (403 nucleotides) under Bacteroidota bacterium. Its description in RNAcentral is "Bacteroidetes bacterium partial 16S ribosomal RNA". It matches the Rfam family "Bacterial small subunit ribosomal RNA", at positions 355 to 776 of the family's 1533-position model. Lineage: Bacteria; Pseudomonadati; Bacteroidota. The record is from RNAcentral.
UGGGGAAUAUUGCACAAUGGGGGAAACCCUGAUGCAGCGACGCCGCGUGAACGAAGAAGGUAUUCGUAUCGUAAAGUUCUGUCCUAUGGGAAGAUAAUGACAGUACCAUAGAAGAAAGCUCCGGCUAAAUACGUGCCAGCAGCCGCGGUAAUACGUAUGGAGCGAGCGUUGUCCGGAAUUAUUGGGCGUAAAGGGUACGCAGGCGGUUUAAUAAGUCGAAUGUUAAAGAUCGGGGCUCAACCCCGUAAAGCAUUGGAAACUGAUAAACUUGAGUAGUGGGGAGGAAAGUGGAAUUCCUAGUGUAGUGGUGAAAUACGUAGAUAUUAGGAGGAAUACCAGUAGCGAAGGCGACUUUCGGGACACAAACUGACGCUGAGGUACGAAAGCGUGGGGAGCAAACAGG